GCUACAGCAGCAGCGCGGCCGCGGCAGCAGCAAUGUGCCGCAGUGCUCUCUCGCUGCCCGGCGCUGAUUUCAACAUCACACCGCUCCGUUUGCACCGAGCGCGGAGGAACGCGAGGAGGAAACAAAAUGUUUAGGUUGGUCACUUGUGUAAUCCAGAGUCAGAGGUUGUGUUAAUAAUCAACAGGAAGACCUGAAAACGCAAACCUGGAGACAAAGCUGCAAAGUGUUCAGGUUUCAUUCAACCUCCUGCUUGGUGUGACCAGCAUAAAGUUUUCACCAUAUCAAACUUCUUCCUCCAGCCAGAGACACAAACCAGAGGGACCUUUCCAACAAUUAUACAUUUUUUAUUUAAUUGUAAUUUUAUUUCAAGAGUACUAUUUUUCAUGUUAUAU
Molecule: long non-coding RNA, 392 nt
Organism: Epinephelus moara (kelp grouper)
Lineage: Eukaryota; Metazoa; Chordata; Actinopteri; Perciformes; Serranidae
Exons: 3
Source: RefSeq, a predicted model, not a curated record